This is a non-coding RNA of Chlorocebus sabaeus (green monkey), 1513 nucleotides long. NCBI's taxonomy places the organism in Eukaryota, Metazoa, Chordata, Mammalia, Primates, Cercopithecidae. The record is from RefSeq and is a predicted model, not a curated record.
UGGUCAUGGUGGCACACACCUGUAAAUCCCAGCUAUUUGGGAGGCUGAGGCAGGAGAAUCGCUUGAACCCUGGUGGCAGAGGUUGUGGUGAGCAGAGGUCAGCCUAUAUCAAGCUUCUCCUUGUUCUAUGUGUGAACAGCUAGUCUGUAUCUUCACCGAAGCAUAUUUAAAAAUCAACCUUAGGAAGGCCCUUGGCCACCAUAAUCCUUCCACACCAGCAAGAGCCCAGCCUCUGAGACUAGGCGUGCUUCCGCUUCCCACUGGAAUGCCUUCGCCCGGAUCUCCAAGGUACCAAAUUCCUCAGGGGCAGCUGAGACAGCCCUACUUCUGGGAGUCCUCCCCAACCACUUGAAAUCACAGGCAUCUCUGCUGUCCCUGCCCUUCAUCCACAUCACUGAACAAUUCAUUGCACACAUCUCUGUACUUUUAUUUAAACUGUUCCAUGUGUGUUUACAAUUAACUACUGCAUGAAUGACUGCGGUAUGGAUGGAGCAGAAAGGAAUGCUGAGGGAGGACCCCUGUUCGAAUGAGCCCCUCUUCCAGAACGAGAAUGAACUUUCCCCAGUACCAACAAGGCAGCCUCUAGGGCAAGAAAAGGUAAUGGGAUCCAUCCUGCUGACAUCCAAGAUGGAAUUACAGGUAACUCUCACCUUUUGACUCUCAGGUGGAAACCCCUUCUCCACAAGGUGAAGCAGAGUCCGUGCCACAGCCCCACAGUUGGGGUCGGGGAUGUCACAGAAAUCACCAGGGCAGCCAAUUCCCAUCUAGAGGGGGCCCAGGAUGACCCAGCACCCUCAAGCUCAGCCCCAAGCUCGGGCCAGGGAGUGAAGCCCUUGUCCCCAAGCAACAGAGUGAGGGUUUGUCUCUAACCCUGUGGGCUCCAGUGAAAGGAAAAUGGCCUGGAGGUGCCCACAGGAGAGCACCCGAGUUCUGAGACAGAUCCAUGGCUCCCAGCCUGAGUCCCCAUGAGUAACAGGGAUGCACAGAGGGGCAUGCUGCCUGCCUAUAGGGCACUCACGGAACGCAGCUGCAUGCUGUGGAUCCUGAAGCUGGUCAGGUAACGAGGUGCAGAGGUGUGGGGAAGACCUGGAGGGAGGCCUCCCCAGAUGCCAACCAGCCUAACCAACCGGGGCCACCGAUAUUAACAGGACACACGGAAGGAUGCCUCGGACAUCUGCACAGCGCACACAACCAAGCUUAGGAGCCCACUGUUAAGAUGCCCAAGUGACGUUGACAAGUUUCUCCUCUGCAAGCCAAUGAGAUCUGCUGGCUGUCAGAGCAUCACGGGACGGCUGAAGGAUUCUGGAAAAUGUGGUCCCAGGUGGCCACUGUGUGCUGACCUUCACCUGCAGGUUCGACUUGAAGGAAACUUCUCGAGGGUUGGGUGGAGGGUGGGGUAGUGUUGAAGAGAAGGCACAAUUGUAACCAUUUUGUUCAACAUGGGUGUUUUCUUUAUGCAUUAAUUUGUAUUUUAAAAUAUAUUACAUUAAAAAUUUAUCUUGAUUACCGAGUU